CCUACGGGAGGCAGCAGUGAGGAAUAUUGGUCAAUGGACGAGAGUCUGAACCAGCCAAGUAGCGUGAAGGAUGACUGCCCUAUGGGUUGUAAACUUCUUUUAUAAAGGAAUAAAACGAGGCACGUGUGCCUUUUUGCAUGUACUUUAUGAAUAAGGAUCGGCUAACUCCGUGCCAGCAGCCGCGGUAAUACGGAGGAUCCGAGCGUUAUCCGGAUUUCUUGGGUUUAAAGGGAGCGUAGAUGGGUUGUUAAGUCAGUUGUGAAAGUUUGCGGCUCAACCGUAAAAUUGCAAUUGAUACUGGCAGUCUUGAGUACAGUUGAGGUAGGCGGAAUUCGUGGUGUAGCGGUGAAAUGCUGAGAUAUCACGAAGAACCCCGAUUGCGAAGGCAGCUUACUAAACUGUGACUGACAUUGAUGCUCGAAAGUGUGGGUAUCAAACAGGAUUAGAUACCCCAGUAGUC
RNAcentral lists this ribosomal RNA (460 nucleotides) under uncultured bacterium. Its description in RNAcentral is "partial 16S ribosomal RNA". It matches the Rfam family "Bacterial small subunit ribosomal RNA", at positions 338 to 795 of the family's 1533-position model. The record is from RNAcentral.